This 87-nucleotide transfer RNA is filed under the name Acidimicrobiia bacterium. RNAcentral describes it as "tRNA-Leu". It matches the Rfam family "tRNA". From Rfam's summary of the family: Transfer RNA (tRNA) molecules are approximately 80 nucleotides in length. Their secondary structure includes four short double-helical elements and three loops (D, anti-codon, and T loops). Further hydrogen bonds mediate the characteristic L-shaped molecular structure. tRNAs have two regions of fundamental functional importance: the anti-codon, which is responsible for specific mRNA codon recognition, and the 3' end, to which the tRNAs corresponding amino acid is attached (by aminoacyl-tRNA synthetases). tRNAs cope with the degeneracy of the genetic code in two manners: having more than one tRNA (with a specific anti-codon) for a particular amino acid; and 'wobble' base-pairing, i.e. permitting non-standard base-pairing at the 3rd anti-codon position. The record is from RNAcentral. Lineage: Bacteria; Bacillati; Actinomycetota; Acidimicrobiia.
GCCGGGAUGGCGGAAUUGGUAGACGCGCCGGACUCAAAAUCCGGUGCCCGCGAGGGCGUAUGGGUUCGAGUCCCAUUCCCGGUACCA